Molecule: small nuclear RNA, 118 nt
Filed under: Lynx canadensis (Canada lynx)
Lineage: Eukaryota; Metazoa; Chordata; Mammalia; Carnivora; Felidae
Also listed under: 1 other name
Description: U2 spliceosomal RNA (ENSLCNG00005011773.1)
Rfam family: U2 spliceosomal RNA
About the family: U2 is a small nuclear RNA (snRNA) component of the spliceosome (involved in pre-mRNA splicing). Complementary binding between U2 snRNA (in an area lying towards the 5' end but 3' to hairpin I) and the branchpoint sequence (BPS) of the intron results the bulging out of an unpaired adenosine, on the BPS, which initiates a nucleophilic attack at the intronic 5' splice site, thus starting the first of two transesterification reactions that mediate splicing.
Source: Rfam by way of RNAcentral
AUUGCUUCUCGGCCUUUUGGCUAAGAUCAAGUGUAGUAUCUGGCAUAUUUAGCAUUAAUAAUAAGUAAGUUUGUUAUUUUAGCCGACAAGUCCUGUAUUUUGCUUUUUAAGAUUCUUA